Molecule: ribosomal RNA, 460 nt
Filed under: uncultured bacterium
Lineage: Bacteria
Description: partial 16S ribosomal RNA
Rfam family: Bacterial small subunit ribosomal RNA
Source: RNAcentral
CCUACGGGUGGCAGCAGUGAGGAAUAUUGGUCAAUGGGCGGAAGCCUGAACCAGCCAAGUAGCGUGCAGGAUGACGGCCCUACGGGUUGUAAACUGCUUUUAUACGGGAAUAACGCGCCUUACGUGUAGGGCUUUGCAUGUACCGUAUGAAUAAGGACCGGCUAAUUCCGUGCCAGCAGCCGCGGUAAUACGGAAGGUCCGGGCGUUAUCCGGAUUUAUUGGGUUUAAAGGGUGCGUAGGCGGUUCGAUAAGUUAGAGGUGAAAUCCCGGGGCUCAACUCCGGCACUGCCUCUGAUACUGGCGGGCUAGAGUUUAGUUGCGGUAGGCGGAAUGUAUGGUGUAGCGGUGAAAUGCAUAGAGAUCAUACAGAACACCGAUUGCGAAGGCAGCUUGCUGCAGCGGAACUGACGCUGAUGCUCGAAAGCGCGGGUAUCGAACAGGAUUAGAUACCCCAGUAGUC